CCUUGGAGAGUGGGAUAACUAGCCGAAAGGUUAGCUAAUACCGCAUAAGCUCACGGGGUCUUCGGACCUUGAGGGAAAAGGCGGCCUCUGUAUACAAGCUGUCACUCCAAGAUGAGCCCGCGGCCCAUCAGCUAGUUGGCGGUGUAAAAGACCACCAAGGCUAUGACGGGUAGCUGGUCUGAGAGGACGAUCAGCCACACUGGAACUGAGACACGGUCCAG
Molecule: ribosomal RNA, 221 nt
Filed under: uncultured bacterium
Lineage: Bacteria
Description: partial 16S ribosomal RNA
Rfam family: Bacterial small subunit ribosomal RNA
Source: RNAcentral